AACAACUGUAUGCAGUCUUCUUCUUUUCAUCCUUGACAAAUGACUCAUGUCAUCAGUUCAAUUGACCAGGUAUAUGCACAGGGAAAUGAUGAGUUACUAAGAAAUGUCUGAUUUCAGCAGGUUACGUACAUGGCUUGUGUUAGAGCAACUUGUUAAAUCAUCAGAUUGUAGUCAUUGUCUUGAUAUCUUCUCUGCUUCAAAUUUGUUAGAGAGAACUCAUGCAAACAAUUGCCAAUUGUUCAUGGAAGUGUGUGGAAUCUGCAGAAAACUAUCACAACAAAAUAAAGUUUAAAUGACUGACCAGGAUAGGUAGUGAGGUUUGUUUAGCUAUGCAUUGUUGACAAGUUAUCACACAUCUGCUACCAGAAGAAAUCUUUGCCUUCUACACGAGUGCUCCCGACAGUUAGACACCCUCCAAUACCCUCCAAUAGCUUUUGAACUUUUUGCAGUGACUAAUACUGAGAUCUUGAAUGAAUAUAAACCUUUCUAUUUUCAUCCAGGAAUCUCCCUAUUUGAGAACCUCCAUAUUCUCAAGAGAAGUUGACUUUUGAAUUAAUAAGUCAAAAAGCAUAGGCCAAUUCCUGAAGAGAAAAAUAAAAUGAGUGCAGAAAGUGAAGAAUAUCUAACUAAUGAUCUCUAGAUAAC
This 645-nucleotide unclassified non-coding RNA is filed under the name Hevea brasiliensis (rubber tree). Lineage: Eukaryota; Viridiplantae; Streptophyta; Magnoliopsida; Malpighiales; Euphorbiaceae. The record is from RNAcentral.